CGUCCCGCGCCCUGGGCUGUCAGGGAGCGCAGGAAUGGGGAGGCCGCCAGGGCUGUCCUGGGUGAUCCAGCUAAUGCACGUGUGGGUGGCCAGCGGGCAGCUCUCUGUGGAGCAGAGCCCGGAAUGGCGGGGUGUCUUCGAGGGGCAGAAUGGCACCGUGACCUGCACUUACUCCAGCGCCAUCAACAGUUUACACUGGUACCGGCAGGCUCCUGGGGAGCAGCCCCUUUUCCUGCUGAUCCUGCACGGCAAGGGGAGCGAGACACAAGAACCGAAUUUCACUGCAGAUCACGAUCCGGGGCAGAAGCGGAGCUCCCUGCACAUCCGCGGCUGCCAGCUGGGGGACACCGCCCGCUACCUCUGCGCCGUGGAGACACAGUGACACAGGGCGCAGCGCAACCUGUCCAAUAACUCUGGGUGUUACCCGGGAGGGGCUGCGGGGCGCUAGGUGCGCAGGGAGAGGUGGGACAGAGCCCCAUGGCGAGACGGGAACAGGCAUUUAUAGCCCUGCUGAGGGGGUAGCGCUGGCUCCCUGGUUAGGGCAAUGGGAGGGGACCGAGGUAACGUGGUUUCGGUUCCCAGCUCUGCCAGAGGCGGUUUGACCUGGGCCAUGAAGGCAGCA
Non-coding RNA from Gopherus flavomarginatus (Mexican gopher tortoise), 622 nucleotides. The record is from the annotation of a RefSeq genome assembly. NCBI's taxonomy places the organism in Eukaryota, Metazoa, Chordata, Testudines, Testudinidae.